Molecule: RNA transcript, 2917 nt
Organism: Antechinus flavipes (yellow-footed antechinus)
Lineage: Eukaryota; Metazoa; Chordata; Mammalia; Dasyuromorphia; Dasyuridae
Gene name: BTB/POZ domain-containing protein KCTD12-like
Exons: 4
Source: RefSeq, a predicted model, not a curated record
GCAGUUUGGGCCAGGCUAGCAGAAGGGGAGCCGGCCCGGGGGACAACCCCCGCGGCCCACCUCCUGGGCCGGGUGACCUUGAACAAGGCUAUUUGCCUUUGUGCACCCUGAGCCUCAGCCAGGAAGGCGGAGGGGCCGCUCCCUGCCCCAGGGAGGGGAGUGGGCUGGAUGGCACACCCCGCCCUGAGGCUGCUGGCCCAGGGGCACACUCGUGCUCCCCGGGGCCAUCUUUCCCCAGGACCCAGUGGCCUCCUCUGCGGCUCAGCGGGGCCUGGAGGGCCCCGGGAAGUUUCCCCAUCACUUUCCCAGGGCCCAGCUGCUGCCCCGGCUCGGGGGUGGGGGGAGGCCGGGGGCCUGCAGAGGGCCAGGCUGGGCCGUGAGUGGCUCACCUGUUGCCUAGCGAUGAUGCCAUCAAGGCUAGAAUUUUGCCAACAAUGGGGUUGCCGACAUCAGAAUCUGAGGAAGAGCCAGCCCCUCCCUCCUUCCUUUCCUUCUUCCCUCCCUCCCUCCCUCCUUCAGUUGAUCAGAGCUGCUCAGACCAGCAGGAUCCAGCUGCCAGCCAGCUGUUUGAGGAGGGACCGAACACACUCCAGGAGGAAAACCAUGAAUUAAGGGGAUUCCGUCCUCGUGGCCCGUUCGUCCGAACCUCCCCGGCGCCUGAGAGCUCACCUCGUCCGCAGGUGACUCGCCAGUCGAAGGGGACAUCAUGGCUGUAGUUCAUAACGCCAAAGAAAAAGGAGAGUUUGAUGCCUUUCCUGAAAUCAUCGAGCUCAAUGUGGGGGGCCAGGUGUACAUUACCCGUUACCCUACCCUGGUCAGUGUCCAAGGUUCUCUGCUCUGGGAGAUGUUCAGUCAGAAGAACCCCCUGUCCUUGUCCCACGACAACAAAGGGCGCUUCUUCGUGGAUCGAGACGGCUUCCUCUUCCGUUACGUCUUAGACUAUAUGAGGGACCACCAGCUGGUGCUGCCGGACCACUUUCCGGAGCGGAGCCGGCUCAAGAGGGAGGCCGAGUACUUCAAACUGCCGGAUCUCGUCAAGAUCCUGGCCCCCGAUGCCGGGAACAACUCCGUGGCAGACGAGCUCAGGGCGAGCGACUCCGAAGAGCCGCACCCCAUCCCCGCCUCCGGUUUGUCGGUCUCGGCCAGCGGCCCGGGCGACUCCCCGGUGACCACCAGGCCCGGCGCCGGGGCCGCCCGCAAGAGUGGUUAUAUCACCCUAGGCUACCGGGGUUCCUACACCCUGGGCCGGGAUAGCCAGACUGACGCCAAGUUCCGCCGCGUGGCCCGAAUCAUGGUGUGCGGCAAGAUCUCGCUGGCCAAGGAAGUAUUCGGCGAGACCCUGAACGAGAGCCGAGACCCCGACCGCCCCCCCGAGCGGUACACUUCCCGCUACUACCUCAAAUUCAACUACCUAGAGCAAGCCUUCGACAAACUGGCCACUGCCGGCUUCCACAUGGUGACGUCCAACUCCACGGGCACCUGCGCUUGUGCUCAGGACCAGGCCGACGACAAGAUCUGGACCUCUUACACCGAGUAUAUUUUUUACCCUCUUAAGAAACCUCCUCUUCAUCCUCACUGGGACCUCCUGGCUCCAAGCCCUCGGCCCUUUCCUGGCCCAUCACCUCAUGCGCCAUGUUCUCCUCCCUUCCCUGACUCGGGCCCUCGGCGACGUCCCCUCGCGCUCUCGCCAAGCUGAGCUGAUGGUUCUCCCGUCUCCCCUUCCCGGCCCGGACUUUCUGCUGACCCCGAUCUUGUGUAUCUACUUGCCCUUUGGACAGCUCAGACCGAAUGUCCACGAGCCAUCUUCAGCUCAAUCAGUGGGUCUAAAACGGUUCCUCUCUCCUCCCCUCCUCUAUUAUGAGGUCCAGCCUUCCGGCUCUCAAUUUAGGAGUCGAUAUCCACUGUGGCCAAGGCCUGCCGCUUUCACCUUUCCGACAUUUCUCUCUUCUGACACAGUCGCCUCCCUGGCGCUGUCAUUUUCUCCCGCCUGGACUGUGGCAGCAGCUGCCAGGGCCAGAUGGGGAGGGGCGCCGUGGCUCUGCCAGCCUUGGGACUCUCCCGCUCCAGUACGUCCCCCAUUCGGCCACCCAAAGCACAGGUCAGACCGUGCCGCCUUCCCACCUACUCAGCAAACUCCAGGCUCUCCCGCUGCCCCCAGGAUCCAAUCGAACGUCAGCUGCCAUUUACAGCUGUUCACUCCGUGGACCCCGGGUUUGGGUGGAGAGCCUUGGCAAGGCUCCAGGCCUCCGCCCCGGGACGGGCUUGAGAAAAGAGGGAGACAGGAGCUUCCUUGUAUCGUCCUCUGUGUCCAACCCCUCGGGGCCCAGCGAACCCCAGGCAGGAGGAGCCCCGUGUCUCUGAAGGCGCUGCAGAUGGACUCGGACACCGCGGGCCCCACGCCACCUGCAGAGGGAUCGGGACGCGGGACGCGCGGACCUGGGAGCAAGAACAGGCAGCAGAGAGAGACCCGAUGGGACCAGCCCCGGAAGGGGGAGCGGUCAGCGGCUUCGGCAGACGGGGCUCCGCGGAGCUUCGUGCUCUCAUCCUCUCCAAAAUCCAAGAUGGUUUUAGACAAAUGGCUGGGUCUGGCAGACUGCUGGGGGGGGGAGAGAUGGGGCGCAGGCGAUUCUACCUCCCUUCUUUCCCACUGCCCCCCAUUUCUCUAAAACUAUCCAGUUUUUCUGUGUAACGGGAGCACACGGGCAGCUUAGGGGACCCCAAACCCUGGGAUCCUCCGGUCCCCAAAGAAACAAACAGAUGGGGAAGGGGGCAACGGGAAAAAUCCUGCCAACUGCAGAACAAAUGGGGACGGAACUGAGCUACACAUAAGAAAAGGGGAGCCCUUUGGCAGUCGAAGAGCAAGGUGUUGACCCCGCCUCAAGCUGUCCUCCUGAAAGCAAGCUGCAGAAAGUUUCAA